Leptonychotes weddellii (Weddell seal) is the source of this 1190-nucleotide non-coding RNA. Lineage: Eukaryota; Metazoa; Chordata; Mammalia; Carnivora; Phocidae. The record is from RefSeq and is a predicted model, not a curated record.
UUGUUACCAUCAAAAGAAGUGGGGUGGACGGCCCCCACUUUCCGCUGAGCCUCAGCACCUGCUUGUUUGGAAGGGGUAUCGAAUGUGACAUUCGGAUCCAGCUCCCUGUCGUGUCAAAACAACAUUGCAAAAUUGAGAUCAGUGGGCAGGAGGCAAUGUUGUUUAAUUUCAGUUCCACCAAUCCGACACAAGUGAACGGAUCCGUCAUCGCGGACCCUGUACGGCUAAAGCACGGAGAUGUGAUCACUAUUGUCGAUCGUUCUUUCAGGUGGGUGAAAAGUAAAAACUAGUCAUUCUCGACACUGAUGCACCAAAACCAGCCUGGCAGACGUCUGUGACUUUUCUGUGCUGCGGAUGACGUCAGAGCAUUUGAGGCGGCCACUCUCACCCCUGGUUCUCAAUCUGAGGUCACGAGGGUUUAGGUGGGAUGACACAUGGGGCUUGUGUGACUACAUUCAAGGAUCCGAGCGCAUGGAGCUGGGCCAAAGAAGGGUGACCGGAGCCUCACGGGGUCUUAUUUUUGUUGUGAGUGUGGUGAAGCCGCAUGCAUUUUUCAGUUUCUGUUUCAUUUUAAAAAGACGCUCCUGGGGAAUAGACACAAGACAAGAUGUCCAGCUCAGCUUAUCUUGACGUGAGCACCCGGGUGAUCAGCAUUUGUUAUGGACUGAAUUGUGUCCCUUCUAAAAUUCAUAUAGUGAAGUUUUAACCCCCGGAAAGCCAGAAUAUGACUGUAUUUGGAGACAGGGUCUUUAAAAAGGUGAUUGAGUUAAAACGGGGCCAUUAGGGUGGGUCCUAAUCAAUCUGACUGGUGUCCUUGUAAGAAGAGGAGAUGAGGACACAGAAGAAGGGCAGCAGGUGCUCAGAGGGAUGGCCACGUGAAGGCAGCAGGGGCGGCCCUGGCCAGCCCAGGACAGAGGCCUCAGGAGAAAACAGUCCUGCCAACAUCUUGAUCUCGGACUUCCAGCCUCCACAACUGUGAGGAAAUACACUUCUGUGUGGAAGUCACCUGCGCAUGGCAUUUUGGAUGGCAGCCCUAGCAAACUAAUACACCACCCGAGCUGUAAACAGAAUAUUUCCAGAACCUUCUGAAUAGUUCUUCUAAUCACUGCUUCUUUCCCUCACCAAGUAAACCACCCGAGUGGCUUUUCUGAUGACAUAAAGUCUUUGGAGUUUUGCUACCUAAGCAUGCA